This 119-nucleotide microRNA precursor is filed under the name Oryza rufipogon (brownbeard rice). RNAcentral's name for it is "mir-399 microRNA precursor family". It matches the Rfam family "mir-399 microRNA precursor family". From Rfam's summary of the family: mir-399 was identified in both Arabidopsis thaliana and Oryza sativa computationally and was later experimentally verified. mir-399 is thought to target mRNAs coding for a phosphatase transporter. The mature sequence is excised from the 3' arm of the hairpin. Lineage: Eukaryota; Viridiplantae; Streptophyta; Magnoliopsida; Poales; Poaceae. The record is from Rfam by way of RNAcentral.
ACAUGCAUUACCGGGUUGAGUCUUCCUUGGCAGUGUUCGAAUCGGCAGUACCGGUCUGCAAGUGAUCGGUCAAUCACCAGUUCACCACUGCCAAAGGAGAUUUGCCCAGCAAUGCAACU